CUGUGUGUGAUCAGGAAGCACGAACCCCUCAGCCCUUGGUAUCCUUGGGAAGCACGAAAAGGAGGGAGAGCCUAGGCUUGUCUCUGCUGGGCUUUCUCCU
RNAcentral lists this microRNA precursor (100 nucleotides) under Loxodonta africana (African savanna elephant). Its description in RNAcentral is "miRNA (ENSLAFG00000023473.1)". The record is from RNAcentral. Lineage: Eukaryota; Metazoa; Chordata; Mammalia; Proboscidea; Elephantidae.